CCAAAACCACACAUGCACCGACACAGCUGGCGGGGUGCCCUCGGGGUUGCCAGUUGCGGGUGCAUGGAGGCCUAAC
This 76-nucleotide small RNA is filed under the name uncultured Spiribacter sp. RNAcentral describes it as "t44 RNA". It matches the Rfam family "t44 RNA", at positions 14 to 95 of the family's 95-position model. From Rfam's summary of the family: This family consists of a number of bacterial RNA genes of between 135 and 170 bases in length. The t44 gene is found between the map and rpsB genes in all species in the full alignment apart from Shigella flexneri. The function of this RNA is unknown. The record is from RNAcentral. Lineage: Bacteria; Pseudomonadati; Pseudomonadota; Gammaproteobacteria; Chromatiales; Ectothiorhodospiraceae.